RNAcentral lists this long non-coding RNA (578 nucleotides) under Lupinus angustifolius (narrow-leaved blue lupine). Its description in RNAcentral is "long non-coding RNA (LANG_LNC002351)". Lineage: Eukaryota; Viridiplantae; Streptophyta; Magnoliopsida; Fabales; Fabaceae. The record is from RNAcentral.
AUUUUCUCUACAAGGGAGAUCAUAUUGAUUGUAACUGAUCACUUUGCUUUUCCGGGUUUGAAGGUUCAGUUUUUUUAAUUUAAGUGGUUCUGUUUUAUAUUUAAAUUAAUAUUGAUGAUGUCAAGGUUGUGAUGUAGAAAAUUGUUCCGUUUUUGCAUCAAGAGUUUUCAUCUUUGUUUGCUUUUCAGGGCUUGAAUAUGCAAAAUUAUUUUGCUUAAAUUUUACUUAUAGUAGUUCUUAUCUCUAAUUAGAUUCAUGUUGAUGUUGACAUUGGGGGUGUGAAAAUUUGAUAGUUUAUGAAUAAUAUUUUUUAUAUUUCAUAGUUGGAAGUUUUUGUUUGCAUUUUCUGUUGAAAAAAGUUAUUGGUUGUGUUUAAAUUUGAAGUUUUGUUAUGAUGUAGGUAUGGAAUGAAGUUUAUAAUGUGGAUGCAUCCUUGGUACUUUACUUUCAGGUAUUUCAUUUUGCUGCCUUUGGAUAAGUUUCUACUUUUGUUUUUGUCUUUGGUUUUCUUUAAAGCUAUAUCUUUCUGCUCUUUGUUUCUCUAUAUUCUAAUAAUAAACAGUUAAUUAAUAUCUCUU